GCAGUCGAGCGGACCGACGGGAGCUUGCUCCCUUAGGUCAGCGGCGGACGGGUGAGUAACACGUGGGUAACCUGCCUGUAAGACUGGGAUAACUCCGGGAAACCGGGGCUAAUACCGGAUGCUUGAUUGAACCGCAUGGUUCAAUCAUAAAAGGUGGCUUUUAGCUACCACUUACAGAUGGACCCGCGGCGCAUUAGCUAGUUGGUGAGGUAACGGCUCACCAAGGCGACGAUGCGUAGCCGACCUGAGAGGGUGAUCGGCCACACUGGGACUGAGACACGGCCCAGACUCCUACGGGAGGCAGCAGUAGGGAAUCUUCCGCAAUGGACGAAAGUCUGACGGAGCAACGCCGCGUGAGUGAUGAAGGUUUUCGGAUCGUAAAACUCUGUUGUUAGGGAAGAACAAGUACCGUUCGAAUAGGGCGGUACCUUGACGGUACCUAACCAGAAAGCCACGGCUAACUACGUGCCAGCAGCCGCGGUAAUACGUAGGUGGCAAGCGUUGUCCGGAAUUAUUGGGCGUAAAGCGCGCGCAGGCGGUUUCUUAAGUCUGAUGUGAAAGCCCCCGGCUCAACCGGGGAGGGUCAUUGGAAACUGGGGAACUUGAGUGCAGAAGAGGAGAGUGGAAUUCCACGU
Molecule: ribosomal RNA, 635 nt
Filed under: Bacillus licheniformis
Lineage: Bacteria; Bacillati; Bacillota; Bacilli; Caryophanales; Bacillaceae
Description: bacterial SSU rRNA
Rfam family: Bacterial small subunit ribosomal RNA
Source: RNAcentral